AGUUUAUACUUGACAUCCAUUUUAACCACCACCAGAGGGCGUGUCAUGAUGUAUGUACAACUUCCUAGGUCAAAGGUCAACGUCAAAAAAACUGGUUUCAGUUGACAAUCCUGUGUCCUGUGGUGAAGAUUGUGUCCGCUCUAUAUCUUGAGAACCAUUAUGAUUUCAAAUAUUAUACUUGACAUCCAUUUUAACCAACACCAGAGUGUGUGUCAUGAUGUAUGUACCACUUCCUAGGUCAAAGGUCUGUCUGUCUGUCUGUUGGUC
Molecule: long non-coding RNA, 267 nt
Filed under: Mytilus galloprovincialis (Mediterranean mussel)
Lineage: Eukaryota; Metazoa; Mollusca; Bivalvia; Mytilida; Mytilidae
Source: RNAcentral